Molecule: unclassified non-coding RNA, 497 nt
Filed under: uncultured Glomus
Lineage: Eukaryota; Fungi; Glomeromycota; Glomeromycetes; Glomerales; Glomeraceae
Description: SSU rRNA
Rfam family: Eukaryotic small subunit ribosomal RNA
Source: RNAcentral
CCAAUAGCGUAUAUUAAAGUUGUUGCAGUUAAAAAGCUCGUAGUUGAAUUUCGGGACCAAUCUGCCGGUCGUGCCUCCGGUACGCACUGGUUUUAUUGGUUUCUCCCUUCUGACGAACCAUGAUGUCAUUAAUUUGGUGUCAUGGGGAAUCAGGACUGUUACUUUGAAAAAAUUAGAGUGUUUAUAGCAGGCUAACGCUUGAAUACAUUAGCAUGGAAUAAUGAAAUAGGACGUUUGACCCUAUUUUGUUGGUUUCUAGGAUCGACGUAAUGAUUAAUAGGGAUAGUUGGGGGCAUUAGUAUUCAAUUGUCAGAGGUGAAAUUCUUGGAUUUAUUGAAGACUAACUACUGCGAAAGCAUUUGCCAAGGAUGUUUUCAUUAAUCAAGAACGAAAGUUAGAGGUUCGAAGGCGAUCAGAUACCGCCCUAGUUCUAACCGUAAACGAUGCCAACUAGCGAUCUGUGGGGGUUAAAUUAAUGACUCCACAGGAAGCUUCCG